Molecule: ribosomal RNA, 353 nt
Filed under: uncultured bacterium
Lineage: Bacteria
Description: bacterial SSU rRNA
Rfam family: Bacterial small subunit ribosomal RNA
Source: RNAcentral
GGGCCCGCACAAGCGGUGGAGUAUGUGGUUUAAUUCGAUGCAACGCGAAGAACCUUACCAGGGUUUGACAUCCUGCGAAUUUCUGGGAAACCGGAAAGUGCCUUCGGGAGCGCAGUGACAGGUGGUGCAUGGCUGUCGUCAGCUCGUGUCGUGAGAUGUUGGGUUAAGUCCCGCAACGAGCGCAACCCACGUCUUUAGUUGCCAGCAUUUAGUUGGGCACUCUAGAGAGACCGCCGGUGAUAAACCGGAGGAAGGUGUGGAUGACGUCAAGUCAUCAUGCCCCUUACAUCCUGGGCUACACACGUGCUACAAUGGCCGGUACAGAGAGCAGCCACUACGCGAGUAGGAGCGAA